Molecule: ribosomal RNA, 253 nt
Filed under: uncultured bacterium
Lineage: Bacteria
Description: partial 16S ribosomal RNA
Rfam family: Bacterial small subunit ribosomal RNA
Source: RNAcentral
UACGGAGGGUGCAACCGUUGCUCGGAAUCAUUGGGCGUAAAGCGCACGUAGGCGGUUUGGUAAGUCGGGUGUGAAAUCCCUCGGCUUAACCGAGGAAGUGCAUUCGAUACGGGCAGACUGGAGGUAUGCAGGGGAGAACGGAAUUCCUGGUGUAGCGGUGGAAUGCGCAGAUAUCAGGAGGAACACCGGUGGCGAAGGCGGGUCUCUGGGCCGUUACUGACGCUGAGGAGCGAAAGCGUGGGGAGCGAACAGG